RNAcentral lists this ribosomal RNA (253 nucleotides) under uncultured bacterium. RNAcentral's name for it is "partial 16S ribosomal RNA". It matches the Rfam family "Bacterial small subunit ribosomal RNA", at positions 524 to 776 of the family's 1533-position model. The record is from RNAcentral.
UACGUAGGGGGCUAGCGUUGUCCGGAAUCAUUGGGCGUAAAGAGCGCGUAGGCGGCCAGAUAAGUCCGGUGUGAAAGUCACAGGCUCAACCUGUGAAUGCCGCUGGAAACUGUCUGGCUAGAGUCCGGAAGGGGCGAGUGGAAUUCCUGGUGUAGCGGUGAAAUGCGCAGAUAUCAGGAGGAACACCAAUGGCGAAGGCAGCUCGCUGGGACGUGACUGACGCUGAGACGCGAAAGCGUGGGGAGCAAACAGG